AAUCAACGCUGGCGGCGUGCCUCAGACAUGCAAGUCGAACGAUUAAAGCUCUCUUCGGAGAGUGUAUAGAGUGGCGCACGGGUGAGUAACACGUAAGUAAUCUACCUUCGAGUGGGGAAUACCGUCCGGAAACGGACGCUAAUACCGCAUAAUGCAGCGGCAUCGUAAGAUGACAGUUGUUAAAGAUUUUAUCGCUUGAAGAGGAGCUUGCGGCAGAUUAGCUAGUUGGUAAGGUAAUGGCUUACCAAGGCUACGAUCUGUAACCGGUCUUAGAGGACGGUCGGUCACACUGACACUGAAUAACGGGUCAGACUCCUACGGAGGCAGCAGUCGGGUAAUUUUGGGCAAUGGGCGAAAGCCUGACCCAGCAACGCCCGCGUGGAAGGAUGAAGUAUUUCGGUAUGUAAACUUCGAAAAGAAUAGGAAGAAUAAAUGACGGUACUAUUUAUAGGUCCGG
This 457-nucleotide ribosomal RNA is filed under the name uncultured bacterium. Its description in RNAcentral is "bacterial SSU rRNA". It matches the Rfam family "Bacterial small subunit ribosomal RNA", at positions 32 to 496 of the family's 1533-position model. The record is from RNAcentral.